Molecule: unclassified non-coding RNA, 212 nt
Filed under: plant metagenome
Description: partial contains small subunit ribosomal RNA and internal transcribed spacer 1
Rfam family: Eukaryotic small subunit ribosomal RNA (bases 1-46)
Source: RNAcentral
AAGUCGUAACAAGGUUUCCGUAGGUGAACCUGCGGAAGGAUCAUUACAGAGAACUUGCCCUUCGGGGUAGAUCUCCCACCCUUUGUUUACAUUACCCUUGUUGCUUUGGCAGGCCCGUCUCUCGGGACCGCCGGCUUCGGCUGGCUCGCGCCUGCCAGAGGAUCUCAAACUCUUGUUUAAUCGUCGUCUGAGUAAUAUUUAAUAAGUUAAAA